GGGGCUAAACCAUGCACCGAAGCUGCGGCAGCGAACGUAUCACCCAAGACAACUUUACGGAGUUGACGAUUGACGGAGCGAAGCGACGUCAAAGCGUUCAUUAAAGUCGAGUUGGCUUAGGGAUACGUUCGUUGGGUAGGGGAGCGUUCUGUAAGCCUGUGAAGGUGUGUCGUGAGGCAUGCUGGAGGUAUCAGAAGUGCGAAUGCUGACAUAAGUAACGAUAAAGCGGGUGAAAAGCCCGCUCGCCGGAAGACCAAGGGUUCCUGUCCAACGUUAAUCGGGGCAGGGUGAGUCGACCCCUAAGGCGAGGCCGAAAGGCGUAGUCGAUGGGAAACGGGUUAAUAUUCCCGUACUUGGUGUUACUGCGAAGGGGGGACGGAGAAGGCUAUGUUGGCCGGGCGACGGUUGUCCCGGUUUAAGCGUGUAGGUGUGUGUUCCAGGUAAAUCCGGUUCACUUUAACACUGAGGCGUGACGACGAGGCACUACGGUGCUGAAGCAACAAAUGCCCUGCUUCCAGGAAAAGCCUCUAAGCAUCAGGUAACAUCAAAUCGUACCCCAAACCGACACAGGUGGUCAGGUAGAGAAUACCAAGGCGCUUGAGAGAACUCGGGUGAAGGAACUAGGCAAAAUGGUGCCGUAACUUCGGGAGAAGGCACGCUGACACGUAGGUGAAGUGAUUUACUCAUGGAGCUGAAGUCAGUCGAAGAUACCAGCUGGCUGCAACUGUUUAUUAAAAACACAGCACUGUGCAAACACGAAAGUGGACGUAUACGGUGUGACGCCUGCCCGGUGCCGGAAGGUUAAUUGAUGGGGUCAGCGCAAGCGAAGCUCCUGAUCGAAGCCCCGGUAAACGGCGGCCGUAACUAUAACGGUCCUAAGGUAGCGAAAUUCCUUGUCGGGUAAGUUCCGACCUGCACGAAUGGCGUAAUGAUGGCCAGGCUGUCUCCACCCGAGACUCAGUGAAAUUGAACUCGCUGUGAAGAUGCAGUGUACCCGCGGCAAGACGGAAAGACCCCGUGAACCUUUACUAUAGCUUGACACUGAACAUUGAGCCUUGAUGUGUAGGAUAGGUGGGAGGCUUUGAAGUGUGGACGCCAGUCUGCAUGGAGCCGACCUUGAAAUACCACCCUUUAAUGUUUGAUGUUCUAACGUGGACCCGUAAUCCGGGUUGCGGACAGUGUCUGGUGGGUAGUUUGACUGGGGCGGUCUCCUCCUAAAGAGUAACGGAGGAGCACGAAGGUUGGCUAAUCCUGGUCGGACAUCAGGAGGUUAGUGCAAUGGCAUAAGCCAGCUUGACUGCGAGCGUGACGGCGCGAGCAGGUGCGAAAGCAGGUCAUAGUGAUCCGGUGGUUCUGAAUGGAAGGGCCAUCGCUCAACGGAUAAAAGGUACUCCGGGGAUAACAGGCUGAUACCGCCCAAGAGUUCAUAUCGACGGCGGUGUUUGGCACCUCGAUGUCGGCUCAUCACAUCCUGGGGCUGAAGUAGGUCCCAAGGGUAUGGCUGUUCGCCAUUUAAAGUGGUACGCGAGCUGGGUUUAGAACGUCGUGAGACAGUUCGGUCCCUAUCUGCCGUGGGCGCUGGAGAACUGAGGGGGGCUGCUCCUAGUACGAGAGGACCGGAGUGGACGCAUCACUGGUGUUCGGGUUGUCAUGCCAAUGGCACUGCCCGGUAGCUAAAUGCGGAAGAGAUAAGUGCUGAAAGCAUCUAAGCACGAAACUUGCCCCGA
This 1727-nucleotide ribosomal RNA is filed under the name Salmonella enterica. RNAcentral's name for it is "partial 23S ribosomal RNA". It matches the Rfam family "Bacterial large subunit ribosomal RNA", at positions 1177 to 2802 of the family's 2925-position model. Lineage: Bacteria; Pseudomonadati; Pseudomonadota; Gammaproteobacteria; Enterobacterales; Enterobacteriaceae. The record is from RNAcentral.